Papaver somniferum (opium poppy) is the source of this 3189-nucleotide RNA transcript. RefSeq lists it as uncharacterized. The record is from RefSeq and is a predicted model, not a curated record. Lineage: Eukaryota; Viridiplantae; Streptophyta; Magnoliopsida; Ranunculales; Papaveraceae. The transcript has 15 exons.
AACAAAAGACGACGGUUUUCAUGGAGAGAGAAUAAUCAUCCCUUUCCUUGAUUCAAUAGAGUUUCUCGACAUUUCUUCUCAAGAGGAACAACAAUGGCGAAAAAAAUUCCUUAGAAAUGUCUGAAGAAACGAAAAAAAUCAAUGAAUCAUCACUUCUACUUGUUUUUUAAAUCAAAUCAGAAACCAAUUAUCCUUUCCUAAGAAGAAAUCUUGUUGAUUCUCGAAUUCGGGAAUAAUGUUGGAAAAACGAAGUAGUAUACGAUCGUCUACAUACGUAAUAGGGAUAUCGAAUUUGAUUGUGAUAGUUUUAGGUGUGAUUUUAGUGAUUUAUUCAUCGUUUGGGAGAUGUAAUGGUGGAAAAAUUCUUCCAUUGAUAGUUGUUGCUAUGGCUGCUGCUGUUAGAAUCAUUGCUAUGUUUGGUAUAGCGAUUGCUCAACAAGCCACCGCCACAAGUAUACUUAGUUCACCUCAGGUUGAUUCUUCUUCUUCUGCUGUUGAUGCUGUUAUCCGCCAUGAACGACGGAUGAGGUAUAAAAGGUGGCUGUGGUGGACUCGGUUUGGAAUGGUAAUUACCGUAUUACAGUUUUUUGGGGCAAGUUAUUUAAUGAUCAUCAUACUACAAUAUUUUUCUCAAUCUGGAAAAUCAAGUUGGUGUUUUCUAGAUCCAAAUCAUAAUGCAUUGGAGCGGAAGUUACUGGUCGCUUUUCUCGUUCUUGUGUGGUUUGUGGUCAUUAUACAAUGUAUAGCAGGAUCUGAUGUAUUGAGAUGGAGGUCUUUCUAUGCAACUCAUGAUAAUGCAUGGAAAGCUCAUUACCACGAGGUUUUUGAUCAUGGAAUUCGUGAAGUUUUGUGCUGUCUCGGGCGAGUAAAAUACUUGAGUGUCUUGGAGGAAGAUGAGGUAUACUCUGUAGCACGGCUUUUGGGCGACCUUGUUGCAUAUCGUGCAUCUGGAACUGGGCAUUUGGAACUUUUGGCAGGACUUGCUUUAUUACAGAGACCAAGGCCAUUAACAAGUAACGAAGAUGAUUUACUGGAGGCACCUGAAGAAACGAUUCGAGAGGCGGCUUCCCUUCAUCAAUUUGCCGAAGCUGCCUACACGGGUCCAUUGCUUGAUUUUGGAAGGAACCCCAUAUUGUUCCCUUGUGCAUGGCUCUAUAGGCAAGGGGUUGUGACCCCCUGGACUCGAAACAGGCGACCUGUUCUUGGAGGUGAUAACUGGUGGCGGGGACACGCAGCUGCCUUUUUAAAUUACGUUAACCUUUCCCCAGAAUCACUUCGGCAAGGGCGAGUUUGUCAGGCAAAGUGUGAAGCUGCAUACUUCGUCGUGGUUUUACAUCACCUGAGAUCUGUGGUUAUUGCUGUACGUGGAACGGAGACUCCUGAAGACCUUAUAACUGAUGGUUUGUGCAGGGAAUGCACCCUUUCAGAGAAAGAUUUGGAUGGUUUGAUAAGUAGCAAUAGCAUUAUCAACCCAGAUGUGAAGCAAGGGGUUCUCUCAAGUUUUCCGCAUCAUGGGCAUUCAGGAAUAGUUGAAACUGCACGGGAGCUAUUCAUGCAAAUUGAUGGCGUACCUGAGAGUAAAGAUAGUGAACAUGAUGCCACUGGAUUUCUUUCCUCGUUAAUGGGACCCGAUUGUGAAUGUCAUGGAUACAAUAUUCGGAUCGUGGGGCAUUCUCUUGGAGGUUCUAUUAGUGCCUUACUUGGAAUAAGGUUAUAUGGCCGGUUCCCGAAUUUGCAUGUGUAUUCAUUUGGACCCCUACCAUGUGUGGAUUCAAUCGUUGCAGAUUCAUGUUCAGACUUCAUUACAAGCAUCGUAUACAAUGAUGAAUUUUCCGCACGGCUUUCAGUAAAUUCAAUUCUUAGGCUUCGUGCCGCAUCAAUCACAGCAUUGUCAGAGGAUUCUGCUGCUGAUUCAGCCAUGAUUUUCAGACUUGCUCGGCGAGUAAUGCAGCUUAGCAGUUUUAAGUCCAACGAGGAAGCAGUUCCUGCUUCCUCCUUGGAAAGUGAGACCAUGACACCUCAAGACAGUAACCACCAUAUUCACAGAAGAAGACACUACAACUAUGUUAUAGAAGGGGGUGCCGAACAGGAUCAGGAGUUCCCUGCUUUCAACGUUACAGAUUUUACCGAAAGCCAAGAUACUGCAAUUUUGAAAGAAAACUCUGAGCAAGUUGGCUGCUAUGAUACACUUAGUAGUUGCACCAGUCCAUGCGUUGAAGUGAAGGAAGAUGUAAUUACGUGUGAAGAUUCUGUGUCUAAAUUUAUGAAUGCUGUCCCAUCGUCUAAUGAAACCUCAGCAGGAGAUCCCCCAGAGAUGUACCUCCCAGGUGUUGUCAUACUAAUGUUGCCAAAAAAGAACAGCUUUUUGCCGAUAUGGGGUGGGUGGAAAAUUCUUGAAAGAGAUCAUGGUUAUAGAGCCUACCUUGCAAAGAAGGAAAGUUUUAAAGAUAUUAUUGUUUCGCCAUUUAUGUUCCUCGAUCAUCUGCCCUGGAGAUGUCAUUAUGCUCUGCAGAAAGUACUAGAAGCCCGACAAGCACAAUCUCAACAAGAUUUAUCUGCUUUGGUGUAGAUAUGAAUCAUUUGAUUUCGACUCAUCGAUUCAUGCUCUCUUCAGUGGUCAAAUUGUUGCAUCCAUGGCAUAUUUUACAAGUUUGCAGCAGUCCCUUAACCAUCAGCCUGUAGAUACUCGAUUCAUUUUGAGCAAGGGUUCUGAUCCUGGUUAGGUCUUUAACCCCGAAGAUUUGUGGAAAAGAAAGAAUAGAGGUGAUGAUUGGAUCAUAACAUUCAGAACGGGCAUUCUCAGCGAGGAAGAUCUACACUACUGACGCACAAAUUCCCCCAUCUCAGAAGGGUGUAAUGAAAACUGCUACUGACAUGUACACAAAAUGUUGUUGGACAAAAAUUCGGCUGAGUUGAACCGAGUUAAAUAGGUUAAAUGAAGAUUCACUGGGUUCACACAGCGUCGCACUUGAGUCGGUGGAUUAACAGAAACCUUGGAAGAAGUGACUCGGUGAUUAGAUCUCCGAUUUUUGUAGGACCAUAUAUGUGUAGAUGUUUUCUUAGAAGUUAAGAUAAAGGGUGUUUUUUGUUUGGUUCUGGGUUACAGUCCGAGAUGGUUAACGGAAACUGACAUAAAUCAAACUAGUCCUCCGCUUUGAAGAACGAAAGAGUAGAAGGAAGAAAUCAUGU